RNAcentral lists this ribosomal RNA (1128 nucleotides) under Triticum aestivum (bread wheat). RNAcentral describes it as "partial small subunit ribosomal RNA". The record is from RNAcentral. Lineage: Eukaryota; Viridiplantae; Streptophyta; Magnoliopsida; Poales; Poaceae.
AUGUCACCCAUGUCCACCCUGCCCGUGCCGCUGCCGCCGACGACCUCGAGCUCGCCUUCUUCGACAUCGCGCAGGUCGCCAAGAUACCGAUCCAGCGGCUCUUCUUCUUCGACGGCCCCGGCCUCCCGCCGUUCCCGUCCGUCGUCGGCGCCCUCAGGUCCUCUCUCGCCGACACCCUCGCCGUCUUCUUCCCGCUGGCCGGCGAGCUGGCCUUCCGCCCCUCCUCCGGCGCCGUCGUCGUCGACUGCUCCCCGGCCGCGGUCUCCUCCGGCGUCAGGUUCGUCGAGGCCGAGUACUUGGGCAGCGCCGACGACAUGGCGCCGCCUGUCCCGCGACGAGGAGCACGACACCGAGGCGUUCUCGCAGCUUGUCCCGGACCUGGACGUGACGCAGCUGCCCGCUCGCGUUCUCGCCGUGCAGGUCACCAGGCCGGCGGCGGUCCACGGCGCCGUGGCAGUAGGGGUAACCAUCCUGCACGCGGUCGCCGACGGUCAGGCGGUGUGGCAGUUCAUGCGCGCGUGGUCGACGGCGUCGCGGGAGGGCGCCGCCGCGCUAGGGAGGCUCGUGCCGCCGCCCACGUUUGACCGGUCUCCGAUCCUGCAGCACCCCAUCGCCGCGGAGCUGUCCCGAACUUUCUUGCGCUUCUUCGCGCCGGCGCUGCCUCUGCUGAGGUCGCCGUCGAGUACAUCCUCCACGGUGGACACGGCGCCGCAGACCCGAAGGACCUUCGUGCUCACCGCCGACCAGAUCCGAUCCCUGAAGCAGCGGUGCGUUCCGCAAAGCCGAGCUGCCCAGCCGCCGGCGAGCACCUACGUCGCCAUCUCGUCCGUCGUGUGGGCGUCCCUGGUCCGCGCCAAGUCCAUGGACCACGCGGACGACGCCCACUUCAUGGUCGCCGCGGACUGCCGGCGCCGGCUGCGUCCGCCGCCGGGCGAGGGACCGUGCUUCGCGCGGGCCAACGUGGGCGAGCUGUGCGGCGAGGGCGGGGUGGCGCGCGCGGCGGCGGCCAUCCGGGAGCGCGUCCGCGAGGACCUGGAGCGGAGCCCGGACCCGCUGGAGGGGAUGGACCGCGUGCUGGAUGUCGUCCGCGGCGUCCCCAGGGAGCGGCUGACCUCGGUGGCGUCGUAG